This 960-nucleotide ribosomal RNA is filed under the name Acinetobacter radioresistens. RNAcentral describes it as "bacterial SSU rRNA". It matches the Rfam family "Bacterial small subunit ribosomal RNA", at positions 79 to 1033 of the family's 1533-position model. The record is from RNAcentral. Lineage: Bacteria; Pseudomonadati; Pseudomonadota; Gammaproteobacteria; Moraxellales; Moraxellaceae.
CUUGCUACCGCAUUCCGCGGCGGACGGGUGAGUAAUGCUUAGGAAUCUGCCUAUUACUGGGGGACAACGUUCCGAAAGGAGCGCUAAUACCGCAUACGUCCUACGGGAGAAAGCAGGGGACCUUUGGGCCUUGCGCUAAUAGAUGAGCCUAAGUCGGAUUAGCUAGUUGGUAGGGUAAAGGCCUACCAAGGCGACGAUCUGUAGCGGGUCUGAGAGGAUGAUCCGCCACACUGGGACUGAGACACGGUCCAGACCCCUACGGGAGGCAGCAGUGGGGAAUAUUGGACAAUGGGGGGAACCCUGAUCCAGCCAUGCCGCGUGUGUGAAGAAGGCCUUUUGGUUGUAAAGCACUUUAAGCGAGGAGGAGGCUACCUAGAUUAAUACUUUAGGAUAGUGGACGUUACUCGCAGAAUAAGCACCGGCUAACUCUGUGCCAGCAGCCCGCGGUAAUACAGAGGGUGCGAGCGUUAAUCGGAUUUACUGGGCGUAAAGCGUGCGUAGGCGGCCAAUUAAGUCAAAUGUGAAAUCCCCGAGCUUAACUUGGGAAUUGCAUUCGAUACUGGUUGGCUAGAGUAUGGGAGAGGAUGGUAGAAUUCCAGGUGUAGCGGUGAAAUGCGUAGAGAUCUGGAGGAAUACCGAUGGCGAAGGCAGCCAUCUGGCCUAAUACUGACGCUGAGGUACGAAAGCAUGGGGAGCAAACAGGAUUAGAUACCCUGGUAGUCCAUGCCGUAAACGAUGUCUACUAGCCGUUGGGGCCCUUGAGGCUUUAGUGGCGCAGCUAACGCGAUAAGUAGACCGCCUGGGGAGUACGGUCGCAAGACUAAAACUCAAAUGAAUUGACGGGGGCCCGCACAAGCGGUGGAGCAUGUGGUUUAAUUCGAUGCAACGCGAAGAACCUUACCUGGCCUUGACAUACAGAGAACUUUCCAGAGAUGGAUUGGUGCCUUCGGGAACUCUGAU